AUGCGGAGGAAAAGAAACCAACUGGGAUUACCUUAGUAACGGCGAGUGAAGCGGUAAAAGCUCAAAUUUGAAAUCUGGUACUUUCAGUGCCCGAGUUGUAAUUUGUAGAAUUUGUCUUUGAUUAGGUCCUUGUCUAUGUUCCUUGGAACAGGACGUCAUAGAGGGUGAGAAUCCCGUUUGGCGAGGAUACCUUUUCUCUGUAAGACUUUUUCGAAGAGUCGAGUUGUUUGGGAAUGCAGCUCAAAGUGGGUGGUAAAUUCCAUCUAAAGCUAAAUAUUGGCGAGAGACCGAUAGCGAACAAGUACAGUGAUGGAAAGAUGAAAAGAACUUUGAAAAGAGAGUGAAAAAGUACGUGAAAUUGUUGAAAGGGAAGGGCAUUUGAUCAGACAUGGUGUUUUUUGCAUGCACUCGCCUCUCGUGGGCUUGGGCCUCUCAAAAAUUUCACUGGGCCAACAUCAAUUCUGGCAGCAGGAUAAAUCAUUAAGAAUGUAGCUACUUCGGUAGUGUUAUAGCUUUUUGGAAUACUGUUAGCCGGGAUUGAGGACUGCGCUUCGGCAAGGAUGUUGGCAUAAUGGUUAAAUGCCGCCCGUCUGAA
RNAcentral lists this ribosomal RNA (595 nucleotides) under Hanseniaspora uvarum. RNAcentral describes it as "eukaryotic LSU rRNA". It matches the Rfam family "Eukaryotic large subunit ribosomal RNA", at positions 48 to 657 of the family's 3401-position model. The record is from RNAcentral. Lineage: Eukaryota; Fungi; Ascomycota; Saccharomycetes; Saccharomycodales; Saccharomycodaceae.